This 372-nucleotide ribosomal RNA is filed under the name Triticum aestivum (bread wheat). Its description in RNAcentral is "partial small subunit ribosomal RNA". The record is from RNAcentral. Lineage: Eukaryota; Viridiplantae; Streptophyta; Magnoliopsida; Poales; Poaceae.
AUGGAUGCAGCGAUGCAGACUUUCAAGAAGGGGUGCAUAUGGAGAGUUGGAGAUGGUCUGAAAAUUAAUGUUUGGGAUGAUUGUUGGAUCCCAAAUAGUCCCUGCAGGAAAAUAACAACACCCCAUGGUAAUCGAGUUUUAUCCUAUGUCAAUGAACUUAUUGACCCUAUAACAGAUCAUAUCAUGCAAAUCCCAUUGACACAAGAUGAAAUGGAGGACAGUGUUGCUUGGCAUUAUACCAAGAAUGGAGUAUUCAGUGUUCGAUCAGCAUAUUACAGAGAAUGGGACGAUCAGUUUGGGGACAAGAUUGCAAGCACAGAUGGCAGUCUAGCUCAUAGAAUCACCCUGUGUGGGGAAAGGUUUGGAAUUUGA